RNAcentral lists this ribosomal RNA (1365 nucleotides) under metagenome. RNAcentral's name for it is "bacterial LSU rRNA". It matches the Rfam family "Bacterial large subunit ribosomal RNA", at positions 1578 to 2925 of the family's 2925-position model. The record is from RNAcentral.
CAUUGUGGUGAAGUGGAUGAUCCUAUGCUGCCGAGAAAAGCCUCUAGUGAGUGUUGUGGCGGCCCGUACCCUAAACCGACUCAGGUGGUCAGGUAGAGAAUACCAAGCGAUCGGGUGAACUGUGGUUAAGGAACUCGGCAAAUUGCCCCCGUAACUUCGGGAGAAGGGGGACCUCUGCUGGUGAUGGGCUUUACGUUCUGAGCUGGUGGGGGUCGCAGUGGCCAGGGGGAAGCGACUGUUUACUAAAAACACAGGUCCGUGCGAAGUCGUAAGACGAUGUAUACGGACUGACGCCUGCCCGGUGCCGGAACGUUAAGGGGACCGCUUAGCCAGCUUCGGUUGGCGAAGGUGAGAACUUAAGCGCCGGUAAACGGCGGUGGUAACUAUAACCAUCCUAAGGUAGCGAAAUUCCUUGUCGGGUAAGUUCCGACCUGCACGAAUGGCGUAACGACUUCCCCGCUGUCUCAACCACAGACCCGGCGAAAUUGCACUACGAGUAAAGAUGCUCGUUUCGCGCAGCAGGACGGAAAGACCCCGGGACCUUCACUACAGCUUGACAUUGGCGUUUGGAACGUCUUGUGUAGGAUAGGUGGGAGACUGGGAAGCUGUCACGCUAGUGAUGGUGGAGUCAUUGGUGAAAUACCACUCUGGUCGUUUUGAACGUCUAACUCUGGUCCGUGAUCCGGAUCGGGGACAGUGUCUGGUGGGUAGUUUAACUGGGGCGGUUGCCUCCUAAAGAGUAACGGAGGCGCCCAAAGGUUCCCUCAGCCUGGUUGGCAAUCAGGUGUUGAGUGUAAGUGCACAAGGGAGCUUGACUGUGAGACUGACAGGUCGAGCAGGAGCGAAAGCUGGGACUAGUGAUCCGGCAUCGGCGUGUGGAAGCGGUGUCGCUCAACGGCUAAAAGGUACCCCGGGGAUAACAGGCUGAUCUUCCCCAAGAGUCCAUAUCGACGGGAUGGUUUGGCACCUCGAUGUCGGCUCGUCGCAUCCUGGGGCUGGAGUAGUCCCAAGGGUUGGGCUGUUCGCCCAUUAAAGCGGUACGCGAGCUGGGUUUAGAACGUCGCGAGACAGUUCGGUCCCUAUCCGCUGCGCGCGCAGGAGACUUGAAGGGGGCUGUCCCUAGUACGAGAGGACCGGGACGGACGAACCUCUGGUGUGCCAGUUGUACCGCCAGGUGCACGGCUGGUUGGUUACGUUCGGAAGGGAUAACCGCUGAAAGCAUCUAAGCGGGAAGCUCGCCUUGAGAUGAGGUCUCCCACCCUGUGAGGGGGUAAGGCUCCCGGUAGAUCACCGGGUUGAUAGGCCGGAGGUGGAAGCACGGUAACGUGUGGAGCUGACCGGUACUAAUAGGCCGAGGACUUGACC